GUUUAUGGGCACACUGUACUGACUGUACUCAUUCUCAUUUGAUCUUGGAAGCAAAGUAUUUCUGGGCCUGUCUAGCAUUUGAAUGGGAGGUGACUAGGGAAUCUUGGAUUCUGUGGACU
RNAcentral lists this ribosomal RNA (119 nucleotides) under Crocodylus porosus (Australian saltwater crocodile). Lineage: Eukaryota; Metazoa; Chordata; Crocodylia; Crocodylidae. The record is from RNAcentral.